This is a long non-coding RNA of Pan troglodytes (chimpanzee), 1877 nucleotides long. The record is from Ensembl. NCBI's taxonomy places the organism in Eukaryota, Metazoa, Chordata, Mammalia, Primates, Hominidae.
UCCCAGUCCAAUAUCAUUUCUACAAUUAAUCAGAAAAGAAGCAAAUGUGAAGAGGGUAGGGAGAGUAGAGGGAGAAGAGAGAGAGAGAGAAAGGGAGAGAGAAUGAAAAUUCUGUAACUUUGUUGGGGAUCCUAUAACUGAAUUUUCCUUGUCUGGGUGGUUCUAAUAAUCUUUUCUUUUUUUUUUUUUCUUUUGAAGGCAGAAGGGAAUAUUCUGAGUUAAGAUGUUUGCACAUAUAUUCUCUGUCACCUUUCAUGUACAACGCAGAGGAAUAAUGGUAACUUGGACAAUAUCCAGGGCAAAUCCAGUGAAAUCCCUCUACAUCUGGAGCCUCACUCCUGUUUUAGCACUGGAAUCCAAUGGGAAGGAAAGUUGCAUUCAGAGUCCAUUGAUAAUGCAGUUGGAACAAGGAAAGCUUUGCAUUGCAGUAAGAAGAAGGUGAACUUUGAAGUCCAAGAGAUGUGAGUAUGGAUUCUAGCUGGCCACAUACAAGAUUUGUGGCCAGGAGGAGGUUAAUUAAAUUAUCUGAGUCCCAUUUCUAUAAUAAUAAUAAAAAUGACAGUGAUAAGAGCUAUUACAAUGAAGCAUUUCAUGUAAGACAGAACUUGUUUUAAGAGCUUUCCAUUUUGCUUGUUUUGGUGUGUGCUUUGUUUUGUUUUGUAUUAGCUUGUUGCUAAUCCUUUUGGCAGAAAAUCUAAGCCUGAAUUUAUAUGAAACUGUUUAUCAUUUAUCUUUAUUUCACCUAUUGUGAAAGUUUUUGCUGUAAAAAUAUCAAUGCUUUUGAUUACAAGGUGCUUUUUAUUACAGGUAAACUUACCCUACUGUGGAACCAGGUAGUCUAACCUCAGCUCAUUCUUAGUCACCAUGCUCUAGGUAUCCUUAGGCUACAUGAACUACUGCACAUGAAAAGUCUCGGAUAGAGUCCUUGGGGGGCAUCUUGAAGAAAUAUUUAACUUCUCCUGAAGCUUUUCAGGGUCUGCAUUCUUGGAUUUCGAGGUAUAAUAGAGGUAGAGAAGUCAGUGGUUCAUCACUGUUGGCACAGACUUCCACAUCUGCCAUAAAGGGUAUUAUCACACAUUUCUGGAGACCAUUCAUGGAAGAUGGUGUGAUGCCUCAUUGUCUGCAGCCUGAGAUUUCUCCAAAGGUGUAGCUGAGUGAUCCCUGUGACACUCUUUGGUUUAAUGAUGCUUAGUCAUUACCACUUUCAUUACAACUCUAAUAGACUAAAUAUCAUAUCACCAUUUAACAUCUUUCCUUCAGUUUUUCAUUCUGUAUGGAAGCUGAACAGGAUAUAUUUGCCCCCAAGCCUGAUUGAAGUAAUACAAAGCUUUAUCAUUUAACUUGGAUUAAACUACUUUAGAAUGAGUCUGAUUAUAAAACCACUCUCAGCUCAUUAAUUUUUGUGGCCAAGAUGAAUGAUAUGUCAUAAUGCCACCAACAAAGCUGGACUGGUCAGCAUUCAUAUGACACCAAUGUCACAUUCCCCAUACACUGCAAGGGUCUAGACUCAAUGCCAGCCAAACAAGAAGGUUGAGCCACAGAAGCCACUGAAGGGCAAAAUAAGUUUUCAAAAUAUGUAAGAUGUAAAAAUACAAGUAAAGAAUAAGGGAGUUGGAAGAAAUCUAAUUGAUCAUUCGACUUUCUAAUCUUAAAAAUAUGGAAACCAAGACACAACAACAAAAAAAAGGGGAUACACCCAAGGUCAUAUAAGUGAUUUCUGGAAGGAUCACAGGCAGUUACAUAAGCCAUGAACUCUGAAAGCCAUCCAAAAUUAAUAAUUUUUAAAGGCAGAUUGCAUACCGUUGUUAAUUCCAUUUUCUAAAAGAUUCAUCAGCUAGCUUAGUAUUUCAUCUAUAUUCAUCUCAAUUUCCUUAAAC